This 1344-nucleotide ribosomal RNA is filed under the name uncultured bacterium. Its description in RNAcentral is "16S ribosomal RNA". It matches the Rfam family "Bacterial small subunit ribosomal RNA", at positions 28 to 1378 of the family's 1533-position model. The record is from RNAcentral.
GACGAACGCUGGCGGCGUGCUUAACACAUGCAAGUCGAACGGAAAGGCCCUGCUUUUGUGGGGUGCUCGAGUGGCGAACGGGUGAGUAACACGUGAGUAACCUGCCCUUGACUUUGGGAUAACUUCAGGAAACUGGGGCUAAUACCGGAUAGGAGCUCCUGCUGCAUGGUGGGGGUUGGAAAGUUUCGGCGGUUGGGGAUGGACUCGCGGCUUAUCAGCUUGUUGGUGGGGUAGUGGCUUACCAAGGCUUUGACGGGUAGCCGGCCUGAGAGGGUGACCGGCCACAUUGGGACUGAGAUACGGCCCAGACUCCUACGGGAGGCAGCAGUGGGGAAUAUUGCACAAUGGGCGGAAGCCUGAUGCAGCAACGCCGCGUGCGGGAUGACGGCCUUCGGGUUGUAAACCGCUUUCGCCUGUGACGAAGCGUGAGUGACGGUAAUGGGUAAAGAAGCACCGGCUAACUACGUGCCAGCAGCCGCGGUGAUACGUAGGGUGCGAGCGUUGUCCGGAUUUAUUGGGCGUAAAGGGCUCGUAGGUGGUUGAUCGCGUCGGAAGUGUAAUCUUGGGGCUUAACCCUGAGCGUGCUUUCGAUACGGGUUGACUUGAGGAAGGUAGGGGAGAAUGGAAUUCCUGGGUGGAGCGGUGGAAUGCGCAGAUAUCAGGAGGAACACCAGUGGCGAAGGCGGUUCUCUGGGCCUUUCCUGACGCUGAGGAGCGAAAGCGUGGGGAGCGAACAGGCUUAGAUACCCUGGUAGUCCACGCUGCAAACGGUGGGUACUAGGUGUGGGGUCCAUUCCACGGGUUCCGUGCCGUAGCUAACGCUUUAAGUACCCCGCCUGGGGAGUACGGCCGCAAGGCUAAAACUCAAAGGAAUUGACGGGGCCCCGCACAAGCGGCGGAGCAUGCGGAUUAAUUCGAUGCAACGCGUAGAACCUUACCUGGGUUUGACAUGGAUCGGGAGUGCUCAGAGAUGGGUGUGCCUCUUUUGGGGUCGGUUCACAGGUGGUGCAUGGCUGUCGUCAGCUCGUGUCGUGAGAUGUUGGGUUAAGUCCCGCAACGAGCGCAACCCUUGUUCACUGUUGCCAGCACGUUAUGGUGGGGACUCAGUGGAGACCGCCGGGGUCAACUCGGAGGAAGGUGGGGAUGACGUCAAGUCAUCAUGCCCCUUAUGUCCAGGGCUUCACGCAUGCUACAAUGGCUGGUACAGAGAGUGGCGAGCCUGUGAGGGUGAGCGAAUCUCGGAAAGCCGGUCUCAGUUCGGAUUGGGGUCUGCAACUCGACCUCAUGAAGUCGGAGUCGCUAGUAAUCGCAGAUCAGCAACGCUGCGGUGAAUACGUUCCCGGG